This 73-nucleotide transfer RNA is filed under the name Sphingobacteriaceae bacterium. Its description in RNAcentral is "tRNA-Met". It matches the Rfam family "tRNA". Rfam says of the family: Transfer RNA (tRNA) molecules are approximately 80 nucleotides in length. The record is from RNAcentral. Lineage: Bacteria; Pseudomonadati; Bacteroidota; Sphingobacteriia; Sphingobacteriales; Sphingobacteriaceae.
CGCGGAGUAUAUCAGUUGGAAGAUUUCCCGGCUCAUAACCGGGAGGGCACAGGUUCGACUCCUGUCUCCGCAA